RNAcentral lists this long non-coding RNA (593 nucleotides) under Salvia miltiorrhiza (redroot sage). RNAcentral describes it as "long non-coding RNA (SMIL_LNC000272)". Lineage: Eukaryota; Viridiplantae; Streptophyta; Magnoliopsida; Lamiales; Lamiaceae. The record is from RNAcentral.
UUCGAGUCACCCUAGGAGCUAGAGUGUGAGUGAGUUUUUUUCUUUCUUUGGUUGUAAUAUUUUUUUUAAAGUAAUAUAUAAGUUUAUAUUCUAUGUCGUGUGAAAGUUUUUAACACUAUCUCAUAUGACGAUUUAUACUUAGUUUUAUGUUAGUAUAAUAUUGGCAGAAGCUUGGGUUGUUUUUUAGUGGUUAGAUUUUUUUUGGAGUAAGAGUAGAUUUGAAUUUAUUUUGAUUUGUGUGUGGAAAAACAUUGGUGUAUGAAUGAUUAGUGAGAUUUGUCGAGAAAUUCGUGCCUCAUAUCCUAUUUAGGUUAGAGUCUUAUUUUAGUAUAUAAAAUAGCUUGAUAAUAAUAACAUAUGAGUAUUUGUGUUUAAUAUGAAUUUGAUGAGUUUACGACAUGAAUAAAUCAGUAUAUUCGCAUGAAUGAAUUUUUUAAAGUUUAUGCGCAAGAAUUUUUUCAUAAGAAACCACAUAUAGUCCGAAUUGGUGAGCAUGAAUUAUUAGUGAGAGUUAAGUAAAAAUUUGUACCUUAUAUCCUAGUUAUGGUUGAGUCUCAUUUUAGUAUAUAAAAUAGUUUGAUAAUAACAUAUGG